RNAcentral lists this transfer RNA (84 nucleotides) under Fasciola gigantica. Its description in RNAcentral is "tRNA-Thr". It matches the Rfam family "tRNA". From Rfam's summary of the family: Transfer RNA (tRNA) molecules are approximately 80 nucleotides in length. Their secondary structure includes four short double-helical elements and three loops (D, anti-codon, and T loops). Lineage: Eukaryota; Metazoa; Platyhelminthes; Trematoda; Plagiorchiida; Fasciolidae. The record is from RNAcentral.
GGCCUCGUGCCUCAGCCGGUAGAGCCCACGUGGUAUCAACGUGUGGGCAGAGUCCUUACGUGGGUUCAAGUCCCGCCGGGGUCA